Molecule: ribosomal RNA, 447 nt
Filed under: uncultured bacterium
Lineage: Bacteria
Description: bacterial SSU rRNA
Rfam family: Bacterial small subunit ribosomal RNA
Source: RNAcentral
UGGGGAAUCUCGGACAAUGGGCGCAAGCCUGAUCCAGCCAUGCCGCGUGGAUGAUGAAGGCCUUAGGGUUGUAAAAUCCUUUCGUUGGGGACGAUAAUGACGGUACCCGCAGAAUAAGCCCCGGCUAACUUCGUGCCAGCAGCCGCGGUAAUACGAAGGGGGCUAGCGUUGUUCGGAAUUACUGGGCGUAAAGCGCACGUAGGCGGAUCAGCAAGUCAGGGGUGAAAUCCCGGGGCUCAACCUCGGAACUGCCUCUGAUACUGCUGGUCUGGAGUCCGGAAGAGGUGGGUGGAAUUCCUAGUGUAGAGGUGAAAUUCGCAGAUAUUAGGAAGAACACCAGUGGCGAAGGCGGCCAACUGGCUCGAUACUGACGCUGAGGUGCGAAAGCGUGGGGAGCAGACAGGAUUAGAUACCCUGGUAGUCCCUGAGCGGGCUGGCAAGGCGCAU